RNAcentral lists this ribosomal RNA (295 nucleotides) under uncultured bacterium. Its description in RNAcentral is "partial 16S ribosomal RNA". It matches the Rfam family "Bacterial small subunit ribosomal RNA", at positions 28 to 302 of the family's 1533-position model. The record is from RNAcentral.
GAUGAACGCUGGCGGCGUGCUUAACACAUGCAAGUCGAGCGAAGCACUCUGUCCGGAUUCUUUCGGGAUGACGGACUUAGUGACUGAGCGGCGGACGGGUGAGUAACGCGUGGGUAACCUGCCUCAUACAGGGGGAUAACAGUUAGAAAUGACUGCUAAUACCGCAUAAGACCACAGUACCGCAUGGUACAGGGGUAAAAACUCCGGUGGUAUGAGAUGGACCCGCGUCUGAUUAGCUGGUUGGUGAGGUAACGGCCCACCAAGUCCAACGAUGGGUAGCCGACCUGAGAGGGUG